This 253-nucleotide ribosomal RNA is filed under the name uncultured bacterium. Its description in RNAcentral is "partial 16S ribosomal RNA". It matches the Rfam family "Bacterial small subunit ribosomal RNA", at positions 524 to 776 of the family's 1533-position model. The record is from RNAcentral. RNAcentral also lists the same sequence under 2 other names.
UACAGAGGUCUCAAGCGUUGUUCGGAUUCAUUGGGCGUAAAGGGUGCGUAGGCGGCGAGGCAAGUCUGGUGUGAAAUCCCGGGGCUCAACCCCGGAACUGCACUGGAUACUGCUUUGCUAGAGUACUGGAGAGGGAACUGGAAUUUACGGUGUAGCAGUGAAAUGCGUAGAUAUCGUAAGGAAGACCAGCGGCGAAGGCGAGUUCCUGGACAGUUACUGACGCUGAGGCACGAAGGCCAGGGGAGCAAACGGG